Molecule: transfer RNA, 81 nt
Filed under: Acropora cervicornis
Lineage: Eukaryota; Metazoa; Cnidaria; Anthozoa; Scleractinia; Acroporidae
Description: tRNA-Ser
Rfam family: tRNA
About the family: Transfer RNA (tRNA) molecules are approximately 80 nucleotides in length.
Source: RNAcentral
GUCUUCAUAGCUGAGUUGGUGGAGCACUGCAGCGCUAAUGCAGAGGCCAUGGGUUCGAAUCCCGUUGAAGCUCCGAAAACA